GAUCAUUAGCGAGUUA
This 16-nucleotide ribosomal RNA is filed under the name Biscogniauxia mediterranea. Its description in RNAcentral is "partial 18S ribosomal RNA". Lineage: Eukaryota; Fungi; Ascomycota; Sordariomycetes; Xylariales; Xylariaceae. The record is from RNAcentral.